Molecule: ribosomal RNA, 546 nt
Filed under: Colletotrichum gloeosporioides
Lineage: Eukaryota; Fungi; Ascomycota; Sordariomycetes; Glomerellales; Glomerellaceae
Description: eukaryotic LSU rRNA
Rfam family: 5.8S ribosomal RNA (bases 171-324)
Source: RNAcentral
CGAGAUUACGCUCUAUACCCUUUGUGAACAUACCUAUAACUGUUGCUUCGGCGGGUAGGGUCUCCGCGACCCUCCCGGCCUCCCGCCUCCGGGCGGGUCGGCGCCCGCCGGAGGAUAACCAAACUCUGAUUUAACGACGUUUCUUCUGAGUGGUACAAGCAAAUAAUCAAAACUUUUAACAACGGAUCUCUUGGUUCUGGCAUCGAUGAAGAACGCAGCGAAAUGCGAUAAGUAAUGUGAAUUGCAGAAUUCAGUGAAUCAUCGAAUCUUUGAACGCACAUUGCGCCCGCCAGCAUUCUGGCGGGCAUGCCUGUUCGAGCGUCAUUUCAACCCUCAAGCUCUGCUUGGUGUUGGGGCCCUACAGCUGAUGUAGGCCCUCAAAGGUAGUGGCGGACCCUCCCGGAGCCUCCUUUGCGUAGUAACUUUACGUCUCGCACUGGGAUCCGGAGGGACUCUUGCCGUAAAACCCCCCAAUUUUCCAAAGGUUGACCUCGGAUCAGGUAGGAAUACCCGCUGAACUUAAGCAUAUCAGUAAGCCGGAGGAAA